CAUUCUGACACACCCUCAUCAUUUAAAGCCCUGAUAACAUGCUGCAGUGGGACAAACCUCUGAAUCCAUAAACUCUCUACACAGUUCUACUUGAGAAGAAGAGAAGAUGUCUGGAUCUGAAGGCACAAAAGAUGUGAAAAGACGCGAAACCACUGAAAAACAGAAAAACUCUUCACACAUUUCAAAGGACGUCAUGAAGAUCUUCAACGACCCCAUUCAUGGCCACAUUGAGCUGCACCCCCUGCUGGUGAAGAUCAUUGACACUCCUCAGUUUCAGAGACUGAGACACAUUAAACAGCUGGGAGGAACAUACCUGGUGUAUCCGGGAGCUUCUCACAAUCGCUUUGAGCACUCUCUUGGGUGGUUGAUCUGGAUCACGGCAUGAAGGACAAAAACCCCAUUGAUAACGUCUAUUUCUACAGCAAGAGGAAACCCAAUGAAGCUUCUAAAAUGAAAGUUUAUCAGCUCUCCAGUUUCCUGCCAAAUAAGUUUAAUGAAGAACUGGUCAGAGUUUACUACAAACAAACUGAUGGGAAACAGAAGGAGAAGAAAAAAGUGGAGGAGAAGAAGACAGUGGAGGAGGCUGAGAAGUGCUUUCAGAAAUGGUGUGACUCCAAAUUUGGACUCCAGUAAUGUGCAUUUGGUUUAUAAUAUAUGAUAUUUAGGGUUAUGGCUGCACAAUCAGUACAUGUGUCUGUAAUUUCACGGAUUGUUUAAUGAAUGAACUACAGGGGCAGUUUAAAUAAACUUUUUCACAUUCAUGUUACUAAAUAAACAUGCAGACAGAGAAAAACUAUAAUGGAAAAUAAAUUACAGGAGUAGUAUUGAUAGUAUGAGAUUUGCAAAUAAAUUAAGCACACUUUUAUUCGAUGAGUGAAAGACUUGUCACUGUAAGGCAUAAAGAGUGACCAGCAGAGGUCUCUAUUCUUAUAAUCAGGGCUUUUUUUUUUUUUUUUUUGGUAAAGGUUUCUCUGAGUCGCUGUGCACAUGUGUUUAUAACGCUCUGUCUGAUAUUGAAUGUUGAAUCAAUCAUACUGUAAUCUUCAUCAUCAGUUUCAGAUUAAUUCUAGUUUAACCACUUAUUCUCUGGGGCGUUUUUGGGAAUUUUCUCCUAAAUUUUCACACUCAAAUUCAAAUGUUUACCCUGCACACAUACAAUGGAGGAAAUGAAAGAAAAAAAAAUGGUUUAAUUUGAAAGAAAACCCUUUGAACUAUAACAGAUGGGUGUCAUUUUUCAUAAAUAACAUUAUAUGUGUUUCAAAUAUUACAAUAAACACAAAAAAUAAAAUAAAAUGAAAAUCUGUAAUUCAUGUUCUAUUUAUCUAAAACUUACUUAGUUUGAUGCCACUAGAUGCCAAAAUGUACCAGAAAAAAUAAUUUUUCAAAUAACAGCUUCCAAACAGGAGUUAUUGCAUCAUAAAUGAAGCGAGUGAAAUUAUCAUAUUUUGCAUGUAGAUUUGUCAUUUUGAGUUUCCUUUGCAAAAACAAGCUAUAUAAAACAAAUUACUCCCAGAAUCCUAAUUUACUAUGUGCCAUAACCACUUUUCCUGAUUAUUGAAUGAAUUAUGUUUCAUUUUUAUGUUUUUCUAAGUAGUAAAAUACAAAAUUGCAUAAACAAAUUGAACCAAAUUUCACAUUUUGUGUUUUAUAUUAUCAGUUGUAUUCUUUCAGGAGACACAAAACUGUAUAAAUUUAAAAAUAUAUCUACCCACUGGGCAAGGUUAUGUCCAGAGGACGUCUUUUUAUGUCUUUGCAGACGUUGAAAAGACGUCCACUGAGGAGCCAGAAUGAAAGUUUUUAUGACGUCUUUUUUUGGCGUGUUCUGAGCAUCCGAUUUAGACGUUCAUGGAACCUCCAUACAAGGUUAAAAACUAGUUCAAAUGUGGUCAGUGGACAUAUUUUUUACAUAAUUUAAGGUUCAUUUAGACAUAAUUUAUACUGUUUCUGGACCAAAUAAACACUCUCAGGAUGCAUUAGAUUUAAACUCAUGUUUUUUCAAAGUAAUUUCCAUUUAUAAUUGCAAAGCAACUCACAGACACUGUGUUUGUCCAAAAAUCAUGAAAAUAAAAGAAUCUUCACUGAAACAGUGUUUAAUUAAAUGAUCAAAUAACUAAUGAUUAAGCAUUUGGUAAAAUCAACUGCAAAUCAAAGACAAUAAAUCUCUCAAGAUCUCAGCAGAGGAGGAUCAAACAUCUCCACAAACAGCAUCACCAGCUUCACUC
Onychostoma macrolepis is the source of this 2222-nucleotide RNA transcript. It is a transcript of the gene named deoxynucleoside triphosphate triphosphohydrolase SAMHD1-like, with no coding region annotated. NCBI's taxonomy places the organism in Eukaryota, Metazoa, Chordata, Actinopteri, Cypriniformes, Cyprinidae. The transcript is spliced from 5 exons. The record is from RefSeq and is a predicted model, not a curated record.